UACGACUACAUAUCAGGCAUAUCAAUAAGCGGAGGAAAAGAAACUAACAAGGAUUCCCUUAGUAACGGCGAGUGAAGCGGGAAGAGCUCAAAUUUGAAAUCUUCAAGGUUUUACCUUGACGAAUUGUAGUUUAAAGAAGUGUUUUCUGUUGGAGUUUUGGUAAAAGUUCUUUGGAAUAGGACAUCAUAGAGGGUGAGAAUCCCGUAUUUGACCAUUCCUUCCAGCUGUGUGAUACACUUUCAAAGAGUCGGAUUGUUUGGGAAUGCAGUCCAAAAUGGGUGGUAAAUUUCAUCUAAAGCUAAAUAUUGGCGAGAGACCGAUAGCGAACAAGUACCGUGAGGGAAAGAUGAAAAGAACUUUGAAAAGAGAGUUAAACAGUACGUGAAAUUGUCAAAAGGGAAGCGUUUGACACCAGUGUUGUUUUCUCGAAAAUCAAUUAAAAAGUAUGGGAUUUUGUAUUGUUAAGACCUUAUCAGCUUACGGUACUUUUUUCUUGCUCUUUUUAAUGCACUUUUCGUUUAACAAGUCAACAUCAAUUUCUUUUGUUGUAAAAGAGUCAUUGGAAGGUGGCUUUCACUUCGGUGAAAGUGUUUAUAGCCUUUGGCUUCUACAAUCGGAGAGAUUGAGGUCUGCAGCGUAGAUCCUUCGGGGUUAGAUACGUAGAUGCUAAGUUAUAGUUUUUAUAGACAACUUGUUGACUAUGAUUAAUCAUGUAGCUUACUCGUUUACGCUAUUUUACCUACGCUUAGGAUGUUGAUCUCUCACAGUCGAGC
RNAcentral lists this ribosomal RNA (773 nucleotides) under uncultured Neocallimastigales. RNAcentral's name for it is "partial large subunit ribosomal RNA". It matches the Rfam family "Eukaryotic large subunit ribosomal RNA", at positions 24 to 645 of the family's 3401-position model. Lineage: Eukaryota; Fungi; Neocallimastigomycota; Neocallimastigomycetes; Neocallimastigales. The record is from RNAcentral.